RNAcentral lists this ribosomal RNA (419 nucleotides) under bacterium. RNAcentral describes it as "partial 16S ribosomal RNA". It matches the Rfam family "Bacterial small subunit ribosomal RNA", at positions 355 to 776 of the family's 1533-position model. The record is from RNAcentral.
UGGGGGAUAUUGCACAAUGGGCGAAAGCCUGAUGCAGCGACGCCGCGUGGGGGAUGAAGGCCUUCGGGUUGUAAACUUCUUUUGCUCUGAACAAGGCAUGCUAAUGGGUGUGUUGAGUGUAGGGGUUGAUUAGCGCCGGCUAACUACGUGCCAGCAGCCGCGGUAAUACGUAGGGCGCGAGCGUUGUCCGGAAUUAUUGGGCGUAAAGGGCUUGUAGGUGGCUGGUUGCGUCUGUCGUGAAAGCUCAUGGCUUAACUGUGGGUUUGCGGUGGGUACGGGCUGGCUUGAGUGCAGUAGGGGAGGCUGGAAUUCCUGGUGUAGCGGUUGAAUGCGCAGAUAUCAGGAGGAAUACCGGUGGCGAAGGCGGGUCUCUGGGCUGUUACUGACACUGAGGAGCGAAAGCAUGGGGAGCGAACAGG